This 5307-nucleotide long non-coding RNA is filed under the name Homo sapiens (human). RNAcentral's name for it is "HSALNT0111009". The record is from RNAcentral. Lineage: Eukaryota; Metazoa; Chordata; Mammalia; Primates; Hominidae.
UCAGGCUGGAGUGCAGUGGUGCGAUCUCGGCUCACUGCAACCUUUGCUGUCCGGGUUCAAGCAAUUCUCCUGCCUCGGCCUCCUGAGUAGCUGGGAUUACAGGUGCCUGCCUCCGUGCCCAGGGGAAGCUGGCCACAUUGUAAGAAGUCGGACUAUGCUGAGACUGUCAUGAUGACAGAAAACCCAAGCUAGCCAGGUGGAGAGAUCACACAGAAAGAGAUGCCUGGCCAGCUGUUACCUGAUAUGCCAUCAUGCAAGAAGAUAAAGGAAGGACAGAGGUUAAACUAAGAGAUGCAGAAAUUAUAGUAUAUCAGCCAGGUGUGGUGGCUCAUGCCUGUAAACCCAGCCCUUUGGGAAGCCGAUGCGGGCGGAUCACGAGAUAUUAAUCCAAGGAACAAUACUGACGAAUUUCACGGACAAAAUACUAAGAAGGAAAUCAAGUGAAUCAAGCGGAGAAGAAAGACAGUGGAAAAAGAAAACUGAAAAUAAAAAUAUUUUCUAGACCCCUUGAAAUAAAGUUUGAAAAACCACAGUGCUUUGCAAAAUAUCACAUUCAAUUGCUAGCUAAAAAAAAAAUUCAUUGGAAGUGCCAUUGGGACAGCAGAGGAUGAGGAGGUCUGGUAAGGUCUCUGGCUGGUCUUGUAAACCAUACCCCAGGGUUGGGGCCAGGGUUUUUAGGCUCAGGCCUCUCUGAUAUGGUAGGAAGGUAUGAAGAGAAUCUUUUCAUCUAUUUUUUAACCAUUAAUCUUUCUCAAUGCAGCAGGAGACCAUGGGGGUCCUGGGUCUGGGGGUCUGCUUUUCUUCCGAAGCUCAGCCAGGCUCAGUAUCAAGGAGCUGACAUCAAGACACUAAUUGUGAGGGAAAGGAGAGAACAUCUUUAGAUAAGCCUACCUGCCCUGUGAUUGCCUGUGAUGGGGUUCAGGACACACUGGCCCCAAAUAUGGCACCUUGGCAUGGGAGAAAAUGGCAGAAGCAGGAAGGUCUCUCUCACCUUCCCCUCGCCCUUCUCCCUUGAAUGUUGAUGAAGAUAUGAAAUAAGGUUUGCCAAAUUACCUGCUGUAUUUAUGACCUCCCUUGAAGCAGGUCAUAAAGCCAUCAUUCCAGAGAUGCCCUCCCCAUACCCAGACCAAAGAAGGCUCCUUAUUUCUGAAGACACAGGGACACAAAGAGGAAUCUGAACAAACAGGCCUUACUAAGUUUUCCCCAGUUAAUUCCUAUUGGACAUGCCCUUUUUCCAUUCAUACUUCUCCACAAGCAUUCACUUCUUCAAUGACUUACACAAAAAAUAUACACAGGUUUAGUCCUUUCUUUGGGUCUUCAUUCCUGAAGGCUGCUGUGCCACAGAAAAUGUUAAUGCUUUUCUCUUGUUAAUCUGUCUUUUGUUAUAAAUGCCUCAGCCAUUAAUCCAAGAUGGAAAAGAAAAAUAUUCCUUUUUCCUGCUCCUAAGAGCCACCUAAUGUGUUGCAGACCAAACCCACAGCAAUCCUGUUAUCUGGGAGUUCAUCUGUGAUCUUGAUUAGAACUAACAUAGGAAAUAGAUAGAUGUGAGUUGCUUCCAGAAUAAGAUUAGAAUAUGAAAUCACAUUUAAAAUUUAAAAGCAACAUGUUAGCAACGACUCUAACCACAGUUCUCCCUUCUUUUUCAAAACCAGGGGUCUGGUCCAGAUCUUGUAUUGCCUGAAGAAGGUCCUAGGUACUACCUUUCCUGAAAGAAAGACAUGGUACUAAAGCUCCUCCAACCCACCUUUGCUCUUCUCUUACCUCAUAAAAUAGCGAGCAUCAAAUUAUUUGAGGAAAAGCAUUUAAGAAUUUUUUUUUUAGGGACAAGUUCUUGCUCUAUCGCCCAGAUUGGAGUGCAGUGGUGUGAUCUCAGCUCACUGCAGCCUCAAACUCCUGGGCUCACGCAAUCCUGCCACCUCAGCCUCUUGAAUAGCUGGGACUGCAGGCAUGCACCACCAUGAUUGGCCAAUGUUUAAAUUUUUUUGUAGAGACAAAGUCUCCCUAUGUUUCCCAGGCUGGUUUCAAGCUCCUGGGCUCAAGUGAUCCUCCCACUUCAGCCUCCCAAAGUGCUAGGAUUACAGGCAUGAGCCACCAUGCCUGGCUGGGUAUAAGAAUGUCAAUAUGCUUAGGUUUAGAUACAGUUUAGUGUUUUUCAAAUGACAGAUUGCAAUCCCUUAAAGGUUAAUAAAAUCAAUUUGGUAGGUUGCAAACAGCACUUUAAAAACAAAACAAAUAAACAAACAAACACACUAGUAUCUGAUGGUAGAUCUUGUCUUGUCUAAAGCCCUGCAGCGUGAGGCAUAUCCAGAAAAGGUCAACCCUGAGUCCCAUCUGGAGGGGCAUCCUCUCUAGGUCACCAUUUGUCACAGUCAGUUUUAGGGCUUGAGGAAAUUUAAUUUCCAUUUCAGAAACUCACUAAUCUAGUUGUGACCAAACUUUUUCCUACCAAUCUAACCAAGUUUGCUUAUAAACAAUCACACUGAGACCACAGCCUUCUUCCCCAACGUAGGUGCAGAUGAAAUAAAGAAGUUUAGAGCAGUUUUUUCUAACGUGGGCUCUGUAAUAAAAACCUGCUACAGUCAAAUAUUUGAGAAACCCUCCGUACUGUUAUCUUCUCUUAUAGAUUCCUAGCCUAUAAAAGAAGAGACCCAUUUAACUUUGUUUAACCCGUUAUGUCCUAAACUUUUUUGAUUGUGGAGUAACCUCUCUUAACAAUUCCACUACCCUAGCCUGAGCCCUUAGCCUGAUAGCUACUCCCUUUUGGGCUGACUGCAGCUGCCUGCCUCUUAGCUUUGUGACUACUGUCACACAACAUACGGUCUUUACUCAGCAGCCCAUACUAGGUCCUCACCAAUUUCUUGAUGGAGUACGAAGUAAGGUUUGCCAUAUUACCUACUCUACAAUUUGGGGACUUUAACCAUUGUAAGCCCAAUCAUCACUCUCACUUCUUAGCUUUUAUUUAAAGAGUAAGUUUGUAUUCUAAAUUGAUUUCUACAACUGCUGUUUAUGGAAUUAAGAUGAAUCCAGUGGUGGUCAGCUGAUCACUGUGGGUGAAGUCUGUUGGUUGCUUUUUACAGUAUUUUAUGUUCCUUCUUCUCUUGCUUCCUGUGUGCUGUGCUGUGAAGCAUGACAGAGCACCUGCCUGUGUGUGCACAGCACCGUGAACUCAAUCUUUCAGUCACUUUCUUUUCUUUUCAUGUUUAAAUAAGAGAUAAGCCACGUUGGCCAGGGCAUGUGGACUCUCCAUGGAGUUCACUAACAAACCGAAUUUAUGUAUCGUUGCAAAAUAGUCAACACUCCAGUCUGUUAGAAACAGGUGCCAAGAGAGGAAAUGUUUAAUAUUUUCCACGUGGCAUGGGCUCUGUCAGACAGUGUUUCCAACCAGAGUCUGUUUUCGCAGUUAAAUCAUAGGUUCAGAGUCUUCCUUUUGCCUCAAGAGUCUGUCUGGUGGCUGGCUCGCAGCUAGCUUCUGCACAAUCCCCUCACUCUGACCCUGCAUCUUCAAUGCCGCCAUUCUGCCAAACCGCUGCUACUUCUGGGUGAAAACCUAGUUCUAGCUCCCUCCAGAGUUAGCUGGUUUGGCUAUUUGAAAGCUACUCCUUCAAUGAACCGUUCUUUGUCAUUUCAGAAAUGAACCCUGCUUUCCAGCAUUUGGGCUGGACAGGGUUCUCCAGGCUUGCUAACUACAGCAGCUGUUUUCUGUCCCCAGUAAGAGCCAGGGUGACAUACCUACCUGCCCAGAGCCACCCUUGACAGGAGACUCAGGGAGAAGUGCCCCCAGGACCAAAGCACCUGCCCAGCCCACUGGAAGAAGGAAGCUUACAAUUCUGUAUGCUUGGAACCCACCAAAGCCUGAGGCCUCACUGGCACCCAGCCAUCCACAGGAGUUAGCAGCUGUUUGAGUCCAGAAGGAAGAACUUUUGGAGUCGGAGGUGGGAAAGAUAGAAAUUGCAUCCAAAUUAUCACAUUCCCAGAACCCUCUUUUGGCCCUACAAAUAAUGUUCACCACUCCACUUCCUUGUUCCUUCACACCUGCUACUUUGGAUUCAGACGAGAAGUUCCAAGAAUCCCUGAGUCCACAGCAUGACUCUGGUUUGCAGAACCUCUGUCCAGACCAGCCAGAUCAGAAUACAAAGGAAAGUGACACAUCCUGGAUCUCAACCCACUUCGAUGGGAAGUCUUCCUGAUAAAUUUAGAGAUAACCUAAAGCCCUUGGGGACUUCCUCUUGAUUUGAAUCUGCUGAACACCUGCCGCACCCCCACCGCACCCCCCCCCCCCGCCCCCCGCCACCGCAGAUGAAAACAUCAACUCUGCAGAAUUAAUGGAUAUGGGAAUCACCUGGGGACCUCUCAUUAAAUUGCAAAUUAUGAUUCAGAGGGUCUGGGGAGGGACAGAGACUCUGCAUUUCUAACAAGCUCUCCGGUGGUGCCCACGCAUCACCGGGGCCGGAGAACCUUCCAUCAUUCCAGCAAUGCUCACCAUCACUGCCAUUCUUGCUCUUCUUUCUGGGGCCGUUGCCCAUUUUCUCCAUGGUAUCCUUCUUUUUUCCUAUUCUUUUCCUCUUUUAAUCCUUUUUUUCUUCCCAGCCAACUCACUAUUCCUAUAUCCCUGCUAACCCUCAAUGCUCCUUCACUCAAAGAUGAAGAAACUCCUGCCCUUUCUUCCUCCAGACAUUCAUCUCCCUCCCUCCCUCCUCUCCUCAGCUUUGUAGUGCCAGGAAAAGAAAGAUCACCAUUUACUGACAAUUUUGUGUGAAGCACUGUCCCAAGUGCAUUACCCAUAUUACUUAACUCUCACAACAACCCUGCAAAGUACACAUUAUUUCUGCCAUUUUAGACAUGAGAAAAUUGGGACUUGGGGUGGUUAAAGAAAUCUUGUCCUCAACCAGGAAGUAGUGAUCUGAGAUUAGAAUUUAGAUCUGUCUGAGGCCAAAGUCUACAACUUCUAUACUGCACCAUGCUCAUAUAAGGUGAACAAUCUAGAAGGCAGCUGGUAGGAGUGGCUUCAGUAAAAAGGAAUGGAAUACCACGAGCUUCACCCCAUUUAUGCAUCCUGAACCCUUCACUCCACUUUUGUUAAGUACAUGCCCUAUGAGACGGUUUGACAUACCAAUAAUGAGAGCUGUUUCAAGAAUGCCCAGAUUAGCUAGGAUGGUUGGGACCUAAAUAGCACAGUAGUAAUAUUAAAGCCCAAAGUUGCCAAUAUGCUCAAUUUUCAAUGUAACCUUUUAUUAUAAAUUAAGACCCAUAACUGUACACACAGAGUCUGUUACCAAAAAAGAAAUUCCUUCCAUUGGCCAAUUAUUC